This 37-nucleotide unclassified non-coding RNA is filed under the name Staphylococcus epidermidis RP62A. Its description in RNAcentral is "RNA (37-MER) from Staphylococcus epidermidis RP62A (PDB 7V00, chain G)". The record is from RNAcentral. Lineage: Bacteria; Bacillati; Bacillota; Bacilli; Caryophanales; Staphylococcaceae.
ACGAGAACUAGUAAUAAUUGUCAUUUGCAUACGUUAC